ACAGUGGUAAUUCAGUGGGAGACUUCUUGCCUUCUAUACAGGAGACCCAGAUUCGAUUCCUGGCCAAUGCA
RNAcentral lists this transfer RNA (71 nucleotides) under Loxodonta africana (African savanna elephant). It matches the Rfam family "tRNA". Rfam says of the family: Transfer RNA (tRNA) molecules are approximately 80 nucleotides in length. The record is from Rfam by way of RNAcentral. Lineage: Eukaryota; Metazoa; Chordata; Mammalia; Proboscidea; Elephantidae.